CCUACGGGAGGCAGCAGUAAGGAAUAUUGGUCAAUGGAGGCAACUCUGAACCAGCCAUGCCGCGUGCAGGAAGACAGCCCUAUGGGUCGUAAACUGCUUUUAUACGGGAAUAAACUUUGAUUCGUGAAUCAAGCUGAAUGUACCGUAAGAAUAAGGAUCGGCUAACUCCGUGCCAGCAGCCGCGGUAAUACGGAGGAUCCAAGCGUUAUCCGGAUUUAUUGGGUUUAAAGGGAGCGUAGGCGGCCUAUUAAGUCAGGGGUGAAAGACGGUGGCUCAACCAUCGCAGUGCCUUUGAUACUGAUGGGCUUGAAUAUAGUUGAGGUAGGCGGAAUGUGACAAGUAGCGGUGAAAUGCAUAGAUAUGUCACAGAACACCGAUUGCGAAGGCAGCUUACUAAGCUAUGAUUGACGCUGAGGCUCGAAAGCGUGGGGAUCAAACAGGAUUAGAUACCCUGGUAGUCCACGCCCUAAACGAUGAUAACUCGAUGUUGGCGAUAUACAGUCAGCGUCCAAGCGAAAGCGUUAAGUUAUCCACCUGGGGNGACGCCGCGAGAGACGACGAAGAGUAGAGNGNGAGAGNGCGACGGACGACGACGAGGGAGGAGG
This 605-nucleotide ribosomal RNA is filed under the name uncultured bacterium. RNAcentral describes it as "bacterial SSU rRNA". The stretch from base 1 to 535 matches the Rfam family "Bacterial small subunit ribosomal RNA", at positions 338 to 873 of the family's 1533-position model. The record is from RNAcentral.